Molecule: ribosomal RNA, 492 nt
Filed under: uncultured bacterium
Lineage: Bacteria
Description: partial 16S ribosomal RNA
Rfam family: Bacterial small subunit ribosomal RNA
Source: RNAcentral
GGUGAACGCUGGCGGUAGGCCUAACACAUGCAAGUCGAACGGCAGCACAGUAAGAGCUUGCUCUUACGGGUGGCGAGUGGCGGACGGGUGAGGAAUACAUCGGAAUCUACUUUGUCGUGGGGGAUAACGUAGGGAAACUUACGCUAAUACCGCAUACGACCUACGGGUGAAAGCAGGGGAUCUUCGGACCUUGCGCGAUUGAAUGAGCCGAUGUCGGAUUAGCUAGUUGGCGGGGUAAAGGCCCACCAAGGCGACGAUCCGUAGCUGGUCUGAGAGGAUGAUCAGCCACACUGGAACUGAGACACGGUCCAGACUCCUACGGGAGGCAGCAGUGGGGAAUAUUGGACAAUGGGCGCAAGCCUGAUCCAGCCAUACCGCGUGGGUGAAGAAGGCCUUCGGGUUGUAAAGCCCUUUUGUUGGGAAAGAAAAGCAGCAGGUUAAUACCCCGCUGUUCUGACGGUACCCAAAGAAUAAGCACCGGCUAACUACGUG